UACGUAGAGCGCAAGCGUUAUCCGGAAUUAUUGGGCGUAAAGAGCUCGUAGGCGGUUCGUCGCGUCGGCUGUGAAAUCCCGAGGCUCAACCUCGGGUCUGCAGUCGAUACGGGCGGACUGGAGUACUGCAGGGGAGACUGGAAUUCCAGGUGUAGCGGUGAAAUGCGUAGAUAUCUGGAGGAAUACCGGUGGCGAAGGCGGCAUCCUGGACCGACAUUGACGCUGAACGGCGAAAGCUAGGGGAGCAAACGGG
Molecule: ribosomal RNA, 253 nt
Filed under: uncultured bacterium
Lineage: Bacteria
Description: partial 16S ribosomal RNA
Rfam family: Bacterial small subunit ribosomal RNA
Source: RNAcentral